RNAcentral lists this ribosomal RNA (230 nucleotides) under uncultured bacterium. RNAcentral describes it as "partial 16S ribosomal RNA". It matches the Rfam family "Bacterial small subunit ribosomal RNA", at positions 332 to 578 of the family's 1533-position model. The record is from RNAcentral.
UCAACCUACGGGGGGCAGCAGUGGGGGAUAUUGCACAAUGGGGGAAACCCUGAUGCAGCGACGCCGCGUGAGUGAAGAAGUAUUUCGGUAUGUAAAGCUCUAUCGGCAGGGAAGAAAAAAAUGACAGUACCUGACUAAGAAGCCCCGGCUAAAUACGUGCCAGCAGCCGCGGGAAUACGUAGGGGGCAAGCGUUAUCCGGAUUUAAUGGGUGUAAAGGGAGCGUAGGCGG